GACGAACGCUGGCGGCGUGCUUAACACAUGCAAGUCGAACGAAGUGGCGAACGGGUGAGUAACGCGUAAUCAACCUGCCCUUCAGAGGGGGACAACAGUUGGAAACGACUGCUAAUACCGCAUACUGAAGGAGGGGAUUGCGUCUGAUGAGCUAGGUGGAGGGGUAACGGCCCACCAAGGCGAUGAGCAGUAGACGGUCUGGGAGGAUGAACGGCCAAAUUGGGACUGGGAAAAGGCCCAGACUCCUAAGGGAGGGAGGAGUGGGGAAACGUCCGGAAAGGAGGAAAGUCUGACGGAGCAACGCCGCGUGAGGGAUGACAGCCUUCGGGUUGGAAAGCUCUGUUAAUCGGGACGCGGUACCGGAAUAGAAAGCCACGGCUAACUACGUGCCAGCAGCCGCGGUAAUUC
Molecule: ribosomal RNA, 408 nt
Filed under: uncultured bacterium
Lineage: Bacteria
Description: partial 16S ribosomal RNA
Rfam family: Bacterial small subunit ribosomal RNA
Source: RNAcentral